GAUGAAGAACGUAGCGAAAUGCGAUAAGUAAUGUGAAUUGCAGAAUUCAGUGAAUCAUCGAAUCUUUGAACGCACAUUGCGCCCUCUGGUAUUCCGGGGGGCAUGCCUGUUCGAGCGUCAUUACAACCCUCAAGCUUUGCUUGGUAUUGGACAUUGCCAGUUUCUGGCAGGUCUUAAAAUCAGUGGCGGUGCCAUUUGGCUUCAAGCGUAGUAAAUCUUCUCGCUUUGGAGAUCCAGGUGGUUACUUGCCAAUAACCCCCAAUUUUUUCAGGUUGACCUCGGAUCAGGUAGGGAUACCCGCUGAACUUAAGCAUAUCAAUAAGCGGAGGA
This 330-nucleotide unclassified non-coding RNA is filed under the name soil metagenome. RNAcentral describes it as "partial contains 5.8S ribosomal RNA, internal transcribed spacer 2, and large subunit ribosomal RNA". The stretch from base 1 to 120 matches the Rfam family "5.8S ribosomal RNA", at positions 35 to 154 of the family's 154-position model. The record is from RNAcentral.